RNAcentral lists this transfer RNA (72 nucleotides) under Bos taurus (domestic cattle). It matches the Rfam family "tRNA". From Rfam's summary of the family: Transfer RNA (tRNA) molecules are approximately 80 nucleotides in length. Their secondary structure includes four short double-helical elements and three loops (D, anti-codon, and T loops). The record is from Rfam by way of RNAcentral. Lineage: Eukaryota; Metazoa; Chordata; Mammalia; Artiodactyla; Bovidae. RNAcentral also lists the same sequence under 5 other names.
UCCCUGGUGGCUAAGUGAUAAAGAAUCUGCUUGUCACUGCAGGAGACAUGGGUUCGAUCCCUAAUCCGGGAA